GCCGAAGUGGUGGAAUUGGUAGACACGCUAGACUUAGGAUCUAGUGCCGCGAGGCGUGAAGGUUCAAGCCCUUUCUUCGGUA
RNAcentral lists this transfer RNA (82 nucleotides) under Desulforapulum autotrophicum HRM2. Its description in RNAcentral is "Desulfobacterium autotrophicum HRM2 tRNA". It matches the Rfam family "tRNA". From Rfam's summary of the family: Transfer RNA (tRNA) molecules are approximately 80 nucleotides in length. Lineage: Bacteria; Pseudomonadati; Thermodesulfobacteriota; Desulfobacteria; Desulfobacterales; Desulfobacteraceae. The record is from Rfam by way of RNAcentral.